RNAcentral lists this long non-coding RNA (612 nucleotides) under Bos taurus (domestic cattle). RNAcentral's name for it is "long non-coding RNA NONBTAT008276". The record is from RNAcentral. Lineage: Eukaryota; Metazoa; Chordata; Mammalia; Artiodactyla; Bovidae.
GAUGUCCUCUACUUGGAACAAAUGUGCUCCUUUUUCUUGCAAUCUUUAAAAAUACAUCCAUCUAAAAGCCAUUAGCUGGACCCCUCACAGGACUUCUAAGCAGAGAUUUAAACUUUUAAGUGAACCUAUCUGCUAGAAGGAAAUUGGGAAGAAUUUAAUGAUCAGGGUAAUCUAUUAUUGUUUUCUACAUGUGGAAACUUUCUGUCUUGGAUAUUUUAUCUUUCUAACUCUUAUUCAGACUUUGGUACCAGUUCCCCAGGGCACACAGUGGGGUGACCUUGGCCCGCGUGCUGAGGCCUAGGAAUGGGGGACGAAGGGUAUCCCUGUAUACAUAAAGUGCUCAGCGGUGUGCACUGAUGGUGAGUUCAGUGAGCUGUGAUGGCCACUCCGUGACUGCUUACCAUCCUGCAUAGUCUCCAUUACAAAACACCGUGCUUGUAUGCGUAUACACUGCAGGUGUUGCUGUUAACAUUUGCAUAUUUAUUUUAACCAAAAUGUUAUUCAUAUUAAAUGUUUUUUCUUUAAAAUGAAUGUAUUAUGUUUAUAUCCCACCAAUGAAUAAUCUUAUGCCUCAUAUUUCAAUAGUACUGUAAUAUGAACUUUUGUGAAAUA